AACAAUAAAAAUAAUAAACGAAUUAGCUGCUUAUUCAAGGGCCCUGACCCGAGGGGCCGUCCUCCACAGCUCCACAAUAGCGCAGAGACAUAGACAGAGGCAGCAACGGCAGCGGCAGCGGCAGAGGCCGAGGCCGGGGCAGAGGUCGAUGUAGCGGCAGAGGCCGAGGCUGGCAAGGGGGUAAGGCUGAAAAAAGGCAAAAGCCCCCUUCGCUGGCGCACAGACAAACAAGCGAACAAACAUUCAAAUUGACUUUGCGACUCGGAGCAUUUGUCGGGUUUACAAUUUCAAAGAGCAACUCCAGAACCGAGACCUCAACCUCAACCUUUGGAGCUCAAGGACCUCCCAGGCGACAUUUGUAACUUUAGUCUAUUUGUCUGGCAAGGGAACAGAGGCAUGGGCAGGGGCUGGGGCUGCUGCUGGAGCUGGAGCACAAGGACGUUAAGAUGUUUAUGGCUUGUCAAGGAUUAUUGUUAUCACCAGCUAGCCAGGCUUGUCACAUUGAUGUUGGCUGAUGCUGUCUAUCGCUGUGGACAAGCAGAAAUCGGAUGCCUAUUUUUCGGGGCUAAUGGACUUCUUCUGGACUGACAGGAAGAAAGGUUUAUCCAUGAAGGUCAGGUCCAACUUGCAACCUUCAACCUUCAACCUGCUGCCUGCUGGCUGUGCGGAGUCUUUUCUCCGACCACUCGAAUCCCCUCCAGAAAUGCAUUCACAUUACCAUCUGGUUCACUCUGCCUCAUAGAGGGGGUGCUGAUGGCGGGAGGCCAUUGCAGGCCGUCAUUGGACCGUGCCUGACCAGACGAAUCAUGCAUUGAUGGCCACAUCAUCAUUCAUCGUCCCAGCCAUAUCCCAUUUCCAAAUAAUUAGCGCCGUUUGCCCGUCACUGGUAGUCCGUGAAUUGGUUGACUCCGGUCGGGAGCCCACAAAAAGCAGCGGAGUUGGAGGUUGGCGUGGGGGGCUUUUAAAGCCUUACUUCGAGGAUGCUGAUGCUCUCGACAACGGUUUCGCUCGGCUGUGAUGCUUUAGAAGUACCCAGCCUAUUCUUGAUAAACUUUCGGGUGUAUGCCUAAUAUUCAAAAAAUAUUCAAAAUAUUUCAAUAAAAUCAAUC
This is a long non-coding RNA of Drosophila pseudoobscura, 1109 nucleotides long. RefSeq lists it as uncharacterized. NCBI's taxonomy places the organism in Eukaryota, Metazoa, Arthropoda, Insecta, Diptera, Drosophilidae. The record is from RefSeq and is a predicted model, not a curated record. The transcript has 3 exons.